CCUACGGGCGGCAGCAGUGGGGAAUAUUGCACAAUGGGGGAAACCCUGAUGCAGCGACGCCGCGUGAGUGAAGAAGUAUUUCGGUAUGUAAAGCUCUAUCAGCAGGGAAGAAGAAAGACGGUACCUGACUAAGAAGCCCCGCCUAACUACGGGCCAGCAGCCGCGGAAAUACGUAGGGGGCAAGCGUUAUCCGGAUUUACUGGGUGUAAAGGGAGCGUAGACGGCUGUGCAAGUCAGAGGUGAAAGCCCAGGGCUCAACCCUGGGACUGCUUUGGAAACUGUGUUGCUAGAGUGCUGGAGAGGUAAGUGGAAUUCCUAGUGUAGCGGUAAAAUGCGUAGAUAUUAGGAGGAACACCAGUGGCGAAGGCGACUUACUGGACAGUAACUGACGUUGAGGCUCGAAAGCGUGGGGAGCAAACAGGAUUAGAUACCCUAGUAGUC
This 441-nucleotide ribosomal RNA is filed under the name uncultured bacterium. RNAcentral's name for it is "partial 16S ribosomal RNA". It matches the Rfam family "Bacterial small subunit ribosomal RNA", at positions 338 to 795 of the family's 1533-position model. The record is from RNAcentral.